This 225-nucleotide long non-coding RNA is filed under the name Malus domestica (apple). RNAcentral's name for it is "long non-coding RNA (MDOM_LNC008245)". Lineage: Eukaryota; Viridiplantae; Streptophyta; Magnoliopsida; Rosales; Rosaceae. The record is from RNAcentral.
CAGCGAUCAGACGAGCCAAUGCAUCCGCCUUGAUCCUCUUUACCUCAUCUUUCUGGAGCAGCCCACAUUUCUUUCAGCAAAGAAGACUAAGCAGCCAACGACAUUCAUGGUACUCAGCAUGGGAGCUCAACCCAGCAUUCCAGCAGGCAGAAGGCCUGCAUGCCCAACAUUCUAGCAGCCCAUGAGACUCGCAAUCUCCUUAUUUCUCUCAAUCGCCAGCCUGGC